This 261-nucleotide ribosomal RNA is filed under the name uncultured bacterium. RNAcentral describes it as "partial small subunit ribosomal RNA". It matches the Rfam family "Bacterial small subunit ribosomal RNA", at positions 26 to 287 of the family's 1533-position model. The record is from RNAcentral.
AGGAUAAACGCUGGCGGCGUGCCUAACACAUGCAAGUCGAACGCGCUUUCGUCUUCGGAGGAGAGCGAGUGGCGGACGGGUGAGUAACACAUGGGUACCUACCCCACAGUGAGGGAUACCGGCGAGAAAUCGCCGACAAUACCGCAUAGGCUUCUCUUUGGAGACGAGGAGAAGCAAAGUUGCGCAAGCGACGCUGAGGGAUGGGCCUGUGGCCGAUUAGCUAGUUGGGGGGUAACGCCUCCCAAGGCUUCGAUCGGUAGC